UACAGAGGGUGCGAGCGUUGUUCGGAAUUAUUGGGCGUAAAGGGCGCGUAGGCGGUGCGGUAAGUCACCUGUGAAAUCUCCUGGCUCAACUGGGAGCUUGCAGGCGAAACUGCCGUGCUGGAGUGUGGGAGAGGUGCGUGGAAUUCCUGGUGUAGCGGUGAAAUGCGUAGAUAUCAGGAGGAACACCUGUGGCGAAAGCGACGCACUGGACCACAACUGACGCUGAGGCGCGAAAGCUAGGGGAGCAAACAGG
This 253-nucleotide ribosomal RNA is filed under the name uncultured bacterium. RNAcentral's name for it is "partial 16S ribosomal RNA". It matches the Rfam family "Bacterial small subunit ribosomal RNA", at positions 524 to 776 of the family's 1533-position model. The record is from RNAcentral.